GGAAAGGCGCGCGAUACAGGGUGACAGCCCCGUACACAAAAAUGCACAUGCUGUGAGCUCGAUGAGUAGGGCGGGACACGUGGUAUCCUGUCUGAAUAUGGGGGGACCAUCCUCCAAGGCUAAAUACUCCUGACUGACCGAUAGUGAACCAGUACCGUGAGGGAAAGGCGAAAAGAACCCCGGCGAGGGGAGUGAAAAAGAACCUGAAACCGUGUACGUACAAGCAGUGGGAGCACGCUUAGGCGUGUGACUGCGUACCUUUUGUAUAAUGGGUCAGCGACUUAUAUUCUGUAGCAAGGUUAACCGAAUAGGGGAGCCGAAGGGAAACCGAGUCUUAACUGGGCGUUAAGUUGCAGGGUAUAGACCCGAAACCCGGUGAUCUAGCCAUGGGCAGGUUGAAGGUUGGGUAACACUAACUGGAGGACCGAACCGACUAAUGUUGAAAAAUUAGCGGAUGACUUGUGGCUGGGGGUGAAAGGCCAAUCAAACCGGGAGAUAGCUGGUUCUCCCCGAAAGCUAUUUAGGUAGCGCCUCGUGAAUUCAUCUCCGGGGGUAGAGCACUGUUUCGGCAAGGGGGUCAUCCCGACUUACCAACCCGAUGCAAACUGCGAAUACCGGAGAAUGUUAUCACGGGAGACACACGGCGGGUGCUAACGUCCGUCGUGAAGAGGGAAACAACCCAGACCGCCAGCUAAGGUCCCAAAGUCAUGGUUAAGUGGGAAACGAUGUGGGAAGGCCCAGACAGCCAGGAUGUUGGCUUAGAAGCAGCCAUCAUUUAAAGAAAGCGUAAUAGCUCACUGGUCGAGUCGGCCUGCGCGGAAGAUGUAACGGGGCUAAAC
This 839-nucleotide ribosomal RNA is filed under the name Escherichia coli. RNAcentral's name for it is "partial 23S ribosomal RNA". It matches the Rfam family "Bacterial large subunit ribosomal RNA", at positions 344 to 1187 of the family's 2925-position model. Lineage: Bacteria; Pseudomonadati; Pseudomonadota; Gammaproteobacteria; Enterobacterales; Enterobacteriaceae. The record is from RNAcentral.